AACAAGGAUUCCCCUAGUAACGGCGAGUGAAGCGGGAAGAGCUCAAAUUUAAAAUCUGGCGGUGUAUUCCGUCCGAGUUGUAGUCUAGAGAAGCAUCAUCCGUGCUGGACCAUGUACAAGUCUCUUGGAACAGAGCGUCAUAGAGGGUGAGAAUCCCGUCCCUGACAUGGACUCCCAGUGCUUUGUGUUGUGCUCUCAACGAGUCGAGUUGUUUGGGAAUGCAGCUCAAAAUGGGUGGUAAAUUCCAUCUAAAGCUAAAUAUUGGCGAGAGACCGAUAGCGAACAAGUACCGUGAGGGAAAGAUGAAAAGCACUUUGGAGAGAGAGUUAAACAGUACGUGAAAUUGUUAAAAGGGAAAC
Molecule: ribosomal RNA, 359 nt
Filed under: Tulasnellaceae sp. CBS 118625
Lineage: Eukaryota; Fungi; Basidiomycota; Agaricomycetes; Cantharellales; Tulasnellaceae
Description: eukaryotic LSU rRNA
Rfam family: Eukaryotic large subunit ribosomal RNA
Source: RNAcentral